This 402-nucleotide ribosomal RNA is filed under the name bacterium. RNAcentral's name for it is "partial 16S ribosomal RNA". It matches the Rfam family "Bacterial small subunit ribosomal RNA", at positions 355 to 776 of the family's 1533-position model. The record is from RNAcentral.
UGGGGAAUUUUGCACAAUGGGGGAAACCCUGAUGCAGCGACGCCGCGUGAUUUAGAAGGCCUUCGGGUUGUAAAACUCUUUUCUAUGGGAAGAAAAUGACAGUACCAUAGGAAUAAGGACCGGCUAAUUACGUGUCAGCAGCCGCGGUAAUACGUAAGGUUCGAGCGUUGUCCGGAAUCAUUGGGCGUAAAGGGUACGUAGGCGGGUAAGCAAGUUAGAAGUGAAAUCCUAUAGCUCAACUAUAGUAAGCUUUUAAAACUGCUCAUCUUGAGGUAUGGAAGGGAGAGUGGAAUUCCUAGUGUAGCGGUGAAAUGCGCAGAUAUUAGGAGGAAUACCGGUGGCGAAGGCGACUUUCUGGCCAUAACCUGACGCUGAGGUACGAAAGCGUGGGUAGCAAACAGG